AAAAGCACCAAUAAAAAAAGGGGUAGACCCAAAGUACACAAGAAGUAUACAAAGAUUGCCAAAGGGUGAGAAACAACAAAAGAAAACACAAGCAACACCAGUUAGCUAUAGCCCUACCUCUCCUCAAUUGGUUCAGUGUCAUAAUUUUUCCCCAAACCACAUCCCAAGCAAAGAAAUCCACCUUUAGAUUAGCAUAGGAACUCCAAAAUUCUUUGACUAAGAAAGGAUCUACUAAAACUAUCACCAAAGAGCUAUAGUAGAAUCUCACAGAGAACUUCUCGUCCUUAUUCAAUUUUAAAACCAACUUUUCCUCAUGCUCUCUUCUGGCGAUCAUUUCCUGAAUCUUCUUAAGGAAGGCUUCAACCAUUUCUACCUCCCAAUCUUGAGCAUUUUUGAAAAAACAAGGGCUCUAAUGUCCAACACAUCCCACCUCCUCCCAAACUUUUCUACUACCCAAGCAUCCUUAGAAUUGGCAAUGAGUACAAAGUAAGAUAAAAGGCUCUCAAAGAAGAAUCAACACCGUUGGGAACCCUAGAUUACCCUGUUCACUGGCCCUGGAUCUUAUAGGGUGCAUGCAAGGCUCUCUAGAUCUAAUGCAAUAGAAAACAAUGGCUACAAAAACCAUUAUCAAAUAUAAAUCUAGAUAUUAGAACUUUAUACCUGCAAUUUGGAUGUUCCCAAAUUGAAUCCUAAUGGAUGAAGAUGUCAAAAACGCCGUAGAACUCGUCUACCCAGUGUUCCUCCACCUGAUCUCCCCUCACAUGGGUCUAAGCACAAGAGAAGGGUGGGCGUCUCUCUCUCCCAUGAGGAUGGUUGGGGAUUCUCUCUAAAGGCUAUCUGGAAGAUAGAAAAUGGAAAAAGUGUCAACUCUAAACCCCUAAGGGGGUUUAUAUGGGGCUCCCUAUGUGCUUAAGUGACAAGCCCAAAUUGGCUUGUCAAUUCAUAAGAUAUAGUGCAACCUUGUGUUUUUACCAAAAUGCUCUUAUGCAUACUUAAGAACCAAAAACCUAAAUCCUUCAAAUAAAAUGCGUCUCUAUAAAUUAGAAGCUCAAGUAGGGACCACUAGGACUCAUAUGAAAAUAUCAAUUCCCUUAAAAUCCAAUUCUGAUGUUGACUCAAUACUCCACUAAAGAGAAUCAAUUGCACCUCAGUAUCCUAUGAAGUUACAACGAGUUAAAGCUCGAUUUGUGACCUAUUAUUCAUUACAUACAGACUUCCCACAAACUGGUGUUCAUAAUCUAACAAGGUAGAGUUAUCAACCUAUCAAGAUUACCUUUUCAAUCCUUAAGUUAUAGAUCCUUCUAUUAUAUGAUCAACAUACUUUAGCUUUUUUUUUUUCUUUUUUUUUUUGUUGAUAGGUUAACAAAGCAAAUACAUUAAAAGCGCUUGGAAAAGGUGCACAAAGUACACACGGAAUAUACAAGUAGCAGCCAAAUACAAGCAAAGGAAAGAUAGACAACAAACCAACACCCAAAACAAAAGACAUCACCCUAAAGCCUAGAAAAAUAAGAAUCCAGACUUAACCAACAUUUAGGUGAGAGCAACUUGAAACUCCACUAUUUUUCCUUAUCAAACAGACUAAUGCCAAGAAGCUAGGCCAACCAAUCACAACCCUAAAAACUCAACUUAUAAGGUCACUUACAAACCAACUCCCACCCACUGCUUCGAUUUUUCUCUUUUUUUUUUUUUUUUUUUGUUUAAACUACAGUAAUAAUCCAGACACUCCAAAUUUCGAAGCUCCCUAACUAGAUGGGGUGUGAAGGGGGGUCUCCUCUUCGCAACCGAAAGUCUACGCCAUUUUCUAGAUUCCAACUUUCUCAACAAGGACAUGAUUUCCUUUUCAUUCCCAUAAACUUGCUAAACAAGAUGAAUUUUUUAUAGGAGAGAUCAAAGAGCCUCUCUCAUUUCAACGAGCCCCUACUAGGGCUCUCAAAACCCAACACCCCCUCUUCACCACUCUCCUCUAAGAUAGCAAUCUUGGUAACCUUAGGCUGGUUCUUUGGGCCUUCCACAACCACAUCCUCGCCAGAUAACAUACACAAAGGCUUGCAAACAUCUUUUGAAAUACCCUCAUCCUGCUCUCUCCAAGAAACCCCAAGGAACAAACCUCACCAUUGGACAAAGAGAAAGUUGAAGAAAAAGACCCUUCCCCCAUCGAACCAUUUGGAAUUGAAGACUUACCGGUGAGGCGUUCCACUAAAAAUCUUGUUGCUUCCUCCACAAGGGCCCUAUCAGUUAGAAGGAGGCAAAGAGACAAGGAUGAAGGCAACAGAACCUUGUUGCCAUCAAUAGGGUCAUCGUCUGCAACAAUUGGAAACUUUGAAGCUUCAUCAAAAAGGGCUCCAUCGACAAGCAAGGCACGCGAAAACAUCACCACAACUUCUCCAGUAAAGCAUAAGCCUAAGUUAUCAUCUCUAAGCCUUAAAGAGACCCACUCCAAAGUGGGCUUUACUAGCAAGCCCUCAUUCUGCUCCAAAACAGACCGAAAAAGAAGGCUCUUUAAAGGCCCACUAAACUAGGAUUUUGAAGGCCCAUAAGAAAAGUGGCCUAAAACCUCUAAAGCCCCAUAGCCCACAUCCACAAGCCCACUAACACUCCUCCCCUUCCUAGGUCUCACCCCACAAACUUCGACAAUAGUCAAACCCCCCUCCCCUUUGCUCAGUCCUCUACUACAACUCCUAUCACCUUUUCAGGGACUGACUCCCUUUCCUCACUCAACCUUCCACCACUCAACACUAGCCCUACACCAUUUGCUUUACCUCUUUGACCAUGCAACAUAACAUGCCCACUUUAGUCACCAGCACGUCUCCCCAUCCUCUUCAUCCCUAACCUCUCGACUAAAACAUCUCUCACCUUGGACCACCUUCAAAAGCCAUGUAGAGACCUCCAACCAAAGUUGGACUACAAAGCAUGAAAAGCUCAUUGUGAUUUGAACUAAAUCCACAUACUCCAACUUAUAAAGAACAUAUGUCAAAUUCUACUUAAGGAAUUACUACAGUCAUAGAGUUCAUUAUUACAUGUCCUUUGAAUCAUCUAAGGGGACACGUUGUCUUAAUCCCAUAAGAUAUCAUGGUGCCUCUAUUGAGAAUACUUGUUGUCAAGACAAGUCAUCCCUCUAAUUAGGAGGAUAGUGCACUAUAGACUCUACUAGAUUGCUCAAAUCCAUUAUUCAACUGUAAACAAUUUAUCAUCUUAUAAGGAACUCAUGACUCGUAUCCUUUGUGUAACUCCUAAUACACUCAAAUCAUGUACAAUGCAAGUGACAUGGCUUGAAGGCUUAAAUCAAAAUCAAUGUGUACAAGGGAUAGAUAAGUGGAAACUCAAGUCCAACUUUAUUACAUCAUGUCUUGCUUUUAAGGGCCCUAUCAAAACAAACACAUCAUAGCUCAUGGAAAAAGCCAACUCUCCUACCAUUGCCUACUUCAAAUCUGAUCCUAGCCUGAAACUCUAUCUACCUCUCCUCAUAGAUUUCCACAACCCCACCCUAUAUCCUUCCUCCCCUUAACUAAGAACACUGACCCAUCCUUUCACCAAACUUAGUUGAGAUCAUCCAUCCCCACAACCUAUCCCUCUCCAUAGCAAACCACCAACACUAUUUUCCAAGAAGGGCUUUGUUGAACCAAGACAAUUUCCAAAUAUAAGUCCCUUUGAAUCUUUAGAUAGAAACUCGUUUUUAGCACUAAUGAUUCAUUGGGAUACUAUUUUGAAAGACUAUGUUACACUCCGUAUUAAGCCUUAUGAGCAUGUAAGUUAGCCUCAUUGAUAUCCAGUUGCACUAAUAUCGGAUCCCCUAAGAAGUUCUAACCCCCUCACUUCAUUUGUAUGGAUAUCGAGUACACUUUUCUUUUUUUUUCUUUUUUUGAUAGGCAAGAUAUCGAGUACACACUACAUGUAGUAUUCUAAUAAAAUUUCAUCACUUGCUAAUGGAAGAGAAGACAUAGAUAAGGAAAUAUUUUGCAAUGAUAUCAACAUUGAGACCAUGAAGUUUUCAUGAUAUCUUGUGUCUACUAAAAAUUGAAUAAUUGUCCAAUGAAGAAAUGAGAAUAUGAUAACAAUGGUGUGCAUCAAUGCAUCUAUGGAUAAUAAUAAUGGUGAGGAAGGUAAACUAAUAAAAAGGCUAGCUUCUCGUAAAUUUACACACCAAUGAAGUAAGAGCAUCAACAAUAAACUAUCUAGCAAGCAAAAAAGAGACUUGUAACAAUACAAGAAAAACAUCCUUAACUCACAUAGUAAAAUCCUUAAAGCAGAGGCUACCAUUUACCUAGAAUUAAGAGGAACUUUUAUCUUUUUCCCCUCUUGUUGUUGGACUCCCAUGAUAGAUGCAUCAAGCUCCACAGAACCAUUAUUGACAUGCAAAAACUGCACUCAACAUAUUUGAGAUAGCUUACAACAAAAGUAAGAUAAAACUGAAAGAUUUCACAUUGUGAUCCUUUGCUCCAUUCCAAUUCAAGAAAGUAUUGAAAAGGUUUGUCUUUCUUUUUUCUUUCUUUAUUUUUUUUUAUUAAGCAAGAGAAAAAAUAUAUUAAUGAAAGGGGACUAUACACCAAGGUACACAUUUGUAUACAAGGGAAAGCAAAAGGCAUAACCAAAAUGAGGGAAAAUACAAAAAUACUGCUCCCUCCCUCAAUUAAACCCCACCCAAUCAACAAACUCAAAUAAAGACAAAGUUUCUUCUACAAUGUACAUCCUAACCCAAGACAACAAAUUAAUCACAAAUGAACUCUUCAAAUAAUGAACUGAUUCUUUUGUUUUUUCAAACACUCUUCAAUUUCUCUAUUUCCACAAAGUCCAAAAAAUCACAAAGCAGGACAGCUCUCCAAACCUUCUUUCAAAGAAACAUUAAAGGCUCCUGGUGGGGGUAAGCGGUCCUACGCGAGUGUCGUGGCCUACCUUUUCACAUUAUUCUCUUAAGAAGAUGGUCACCAGAAGAAAACAUUGAGAUAUAUGGGAAGUUCAAACGGGGUUGGAUUGAAUUGAGGGGCCUACCUUUCCAUCUUUGGUCGGAGAUCCACUUCCAACAAGUGUUGAAAUGGUGAGGAUGGGUUGCAGAGAUAGACAAGCGUACUUUAAAGCUAGCAGAUUUAUCAAAAGCUUUGCUGAGAGUGGAGAUGAAUCCGUACGUUGUGCUUCCUUCAUUGUUGGAAGUCAAAGAUUGGAUUUUCACGGUGGUAGUUUCAGUUGUCGAAAGGGAAGAAGGUGGUAUACAAGGAAGACUUGAGUCAACUCACAGCAGAGAUGAGUUGGACACAGCGGGAGGUUGCGUGCAACAUGGUUUUUCCUCAAGCUCUGAGGAUACAUGGCGAGGUUAGGGAGAGGUUGGGUUACAACUAUCAUCUACCUUCUCUUGGUUCAAACUCCUUUUCAAAUUUAAAAUUAAAGAAGGUCGAUGACUUAUUGGGGAAGGAAGGCUGAGCGAGGGAGCAUUUAAGCCCUUUUGAAAAAGGAGGCCCAAGUUUCUCCAAAGCCUUUUUUGUUAAAGACGGGGUGGUAAAUGAAGCAAGCCCAACUUACUUCAAUGCCCAUUCAAAUGAAGGUAGGCCCACAAUUAGAGCUCGCUCUCAUGUAAGCCCUUUUCUUGGAAAGGCUUUGGACCCCAUUCCUCACCUUCAAGAAGACGAGCCCUUUUUGUUAGCUCUACAGAAAGGAGCCUUGUUGCAACUUCAGCAAGACGCAGGUACAUCCAGAGUUUGACUAGUCUAAGAAGGUUCCCACCGUUGCGCCAGCACUACAAUUCCCAAGCCAAGGAAGGAGUUUUGUUAGCCAUUGAGCGAGAAGUAUGCCUCCACCUUUCUUUUCUCCUCCAACACUAAAUCUUAAGGCUAGUAAUGAGGUUGAGGCCAAAGAAAGGCUACUCUAGGAGAGAGGAUUUUUUAUGGAGGGGGAGAAUUCUUUAGGGAAAGUGAAUCGGGGCUUCAACCCCUCGAAGACAGCAAGUUUGUCAAAGGAACAAGGUGCAACUAAGAUGGAAAAGGGAAUUUGGAACCUCAAUUCAGUGAGAUUGGGGGGAGCGUUAGGAGGGACUGAGGGUGGAGAUAGUGUUCCCCUUUGUGGUAGUCAAUCUCAGGUACACACUUCUUUACCACUUUUCACUAUUGAAGGCCAAACAUUAGAUGGGGCUACUAAUGUGUCUUUUCCUCUUUCAUCCCUUGUUAUUUCUUCUCACUCCUUUGUUCAAUCCUUGCUUUCCUUAUCUCUUCCUUUGAGAUCAAAUUGUUGCUCCUCUUUCUCCUCGUCUAAACAACUAGUGAGUAACAAUUUUCCUUCUGGCUUAAUUGUUGCUUGUCUCAUUUCAAAAGGCGUGGCAUCCCCUUUAGUCAAAGCAAACCAAGAGUUAAAGGUAACUCUUCAGAUAGGCCACCACAACACAACCCUAGUGAGCUUUUUUCUCUAGAAAGUUGUCUACCUAUGGAGUUUGGACCUGCUCAAUUGGAAGAUUUCCAUAUAGAAGGCAUAUCUCCUUCAAAAAUGGCUUCUAUUCACUCGGGUCUUGGGAGCAAUGAAUGGUAAGAUAGUCAAAUACAGUGAAAAUGGCAUCCUUCCGGGUAAUAGCACUGCUCAUUCUAUGGAUAAGGUCCACUCCAAGAGGAAGAACAAACACUUCUUUUGUGGUCCCAUAGGCUUCUUUGGAUCUAGUCUCUUUGGUUUUAACUAGGUCUUCUCUAUUUUUAUGAAAAUCAUUAGUUGGAAUGCGAGAGGUCAUGAGUCUAGAAAGAAAAGAAGGGUAGUGAAGGAUUUUCUUGGUCAAGAAAAUCGAGAUGCAGUUAUGUUGCAGGAAACAAAGAGGGAGUCGUGGGAUAGGCAAUUUAUGAGUAGUGUGUGGAAAGUCAUAAAUAAAGAAUGGGUUGCUCUCCCAACUAGUGGGACUUUGGGAGGAGAGGCAAUUGUUUGGGAUGCUCUGAAAUGUAGGUGUUUAGAGGUUGUCUUAGGGUCUUUCACGAUAAUUGUAAAGCUGGAAUAAGAAGAAGAAGGGUGUUUUUGGCUCACUUCAGUUUAUGGUCCUAAUAAUUCCCUUCUCAUAAAGGAUUUUUGGGCAAAGCUACAAGAUCUUUCAGGUUUAACUUUCCCGAAAUGUGUGUUGAUGGGGAUUUUAAUGUUAUAAGAACUUCAGAAAAGUUAGAAGGAUCCAAAUUAACUCCAAGUAUGAGGGAUUUUGAUGAAUUCAUAAGAGAAAGUGAGUUAAGCGACCCUCCUCUUAGGAAUGCAUCCUUCACAUGGACAAAUUUGCAACAAUCUCCUGUUUGCAAGAUGUUGGGUAGAUUUUUACUACCAAGUGAGUGGGAAUAAGGAUUCCCUCAUAGCAUCCAAGAGGCGCUUCCCAAAAUGACAUCAAACCAUUGUCCCAUUGCGUUAGACGCCAAUCCUUUUCAAUGAGGUCCAACACCUUUUAGUUUUGAAAACAAGUGGUUUCCAGAUUUCAAGGAAAAGUUUUGUUGGUGUUGGAAUGAGAGUAGGCUUGAAGGUUGGGAAGGUUAUAAAUUCAUGAAAAAGCUACCGUUUGUCAAGUCAAAGUUAAAAAAGUGGAAUAAGGUGUCAUUGAAGAUUUAAAGGAGAAAAACAAAAGUAUUCUCACGGGCAUUGUUGACUUAGAUGCGAAGGAGCAAAAAAGGAAUUUGACUCCUGAACUUAUAGCAAGAAGGACCUUAAGGAAAGGGGAAUGGGAAGAGGUGUUGUUUAAAUGAAGAGGUGUUUUAGAGGAAACAAUCAAGAGUUAAAUGUAUAAGAAAAGGGGAUUGCAACACUACUUUUUAGAAAAUCAAGCGUCGAUUAGCUUGAUCAUCCUUUUUUAGAAAAUGAGAUUCACAAUGUUAUGUUGCACUUAAACAAGGAAAAGGCACCUGGGUCAGAUGGUUUCACCUUUGCUCUAUAUCAGGAGUGUUGGGAGACGAUUAAGGACGAUCUUUUAAGAGUGUUCUUAGGGUUUCACAAUAAUGGGAUGAUCAAUCAAAGCACCAACUCUACCUUCAUUGUUUUAGUACCAAAAAAAAAGUCAAACUAGUAGAAUCUCGGAUUUUCAACCUAUCAAUCAGGUUACUAGCUUGUGCAAAAUCAUAACUAAGGUACUUUUAGGGCAAUUACAUAAAGUCCUCCAAGACACCAUUUUCAUGCCCCAAGGAGCCUUUGUGGAGGAAAGACAAAUUUUGGAUGUCGUCUUGAUUGCUAAUGAGUUGGUGGAUGAGAAGAGGAGAUCAGGAGAGGAAAGGGUAGUUUUCAAAAUUGAUUUUGAAAAGGCCUAUAAACCAUGUUGAUUGGGAUUUUUUGAACCAUGUACUUGAACAAAAAGGGUUUAGUUCAAAAUGGAGGUCUUGGAUGAGGGGAUGUUUGUCUUCUGCAACUUUUGCAAUCUUAGUAAAUGGAAAUGCUAAGGGUUGGGUGAAGGCUUCUAGAGGCUUAAGACAAGGAGAUCCUCUUUCGCCUUUUCUUUUCACCAUUGUGGCUGAUGUUUUUAGUAGAUUGUUGAUGAGAAUGGAGAAAAGAGGUUUGCUUGAGAGGUUUUAAGUGGGCAGAAACAGGACUAGAGUCUCUUAUUUACAAUUUGUUAAUGACACUAUCUUUUUUUCUAGAGCUUCCUUGGAAGAAUUGCAAACCCUUAAGCUCAUUUUAUUGGUUUUUGGAAGGGUCUCUGGGCUUAGGAUCAAUCUUAAUAAGAGCACGCUUUCUAGAAUCAAAAUUAAUCAAGAUCAAAUCUUCAAGAUGGCUUUAAUGCUUAAUUGUUCAGUCUCGGAUUGGCCUUUAACAUAGCUGGGUCUUCCUUUUGGGGGAAAUCCAAAAUCAAGUUCAAAAAAAGAUCCAUUGAUUGAUAGAGUCUCUAGGAGGUUGGAUGGAUGGAAAAAAUCUUUUUUGUCCCUAGGAGAUAAAAUCACUCUAAUCUAGUCUUGUUUGUCGCACAUCCUAAGCUACUUCGUAUCCCUUUUCAAAAUUCUAGUAUAUAUAGCAUCAAGGAUUGAAAAAUGUAAAGAGAUUUUUUGUGGUAGGGUUUUGGGGAGGGUAAAAAAGACCACUUGGUCAAUUAGGAUCUAGUGUGUAAGCCUAAGGAGUUAGGUGGUUUACAGUUAGGGAAACUUACUUUGAGAAAUCAAGUUUUAUUAGGGAAGUGGCUUUAGAGGUAUGCUAAGGAAAGUUUCACCCUUUGGCAUCAAGUUAUUUUAAGUAUCCAUGAGACACAUCCUAAUGGAUAGGAUGCCAAUAAUUUAGUUAAA
RNAcentral lists this long non-coding RNA (9197 nucleotides) under Vitis vinifera (wine grape). Its description in RNAcentral is "long non-coding RNA (VVIN_LNC004089)". Lineage: Eukaryota; Viridiplantae; Streptophyta; Magnoliopsida; Vitales; Vitaceae. The record is from RNAcentral.